CAGCCAUGGGGUGAGGCACAAAGCGAACUAUUUUUUUGCCAUUUACUAAAGAAUACCGUGUGCUCUCCUCGCUUAAGUCGACAAAGUCGGAAUGGUUUUCAACAUCCCCAGAUCAGACUUG
Molecule: non-coding RNA, 121 nt
Organism: Brassica rapa (field mustard)
Lineage: Eukaryota; Viridiplantae; Streptophyta; Magnoliopsida; Brassicales; Brassicaceae
Source: Rfam